CAGGGGACGUGGAUAACCUCGGGAAACUGAGGAUAAACCGCGAUAGGUCAUAGUAUCUGGAAUGAUUUAUGGCUCAAAUCUACAUGGCCUCUGGAUUGGACUGCGGCCGAUCAGGCUGUUGGUGAGGUAAUGGCCCACCAAACCUAAAACCGGUACGGGCUCUGAGAGGAGAAGCCCGGAGAUGGGCACUGAGACAAGGGCCCAGGCCCUAUGGGGCGCAGCAGGCGCGAAAACUCUGCAAUAAGCGAAAGCUUGACAGGGUUAUUCUGAGUGAUUUCCGCUAAGGAAAUCUUUUGGCACCUCUAAAAAUGGUGCAGAAUAAGGGGUGGGCAAGCCUGGUGUCAGCCGCCGCGGUAAUACCAGCACCCCGAGUGGUCGGGACGAUUAUUGGGCCUAAAGCAUCCGUAGCCGGUUCUACAAGUCUUCCGUUAAAUCCACCUGCUCAACAGAUGGGCUGCGGAGGAUACUAUAGAGCUAGGAGGCGGGAGAGGCAAGCGGUACUUAGUGGGUAGGGGUAAAAUCCGUUGAUCCAUUGAAGACCACCAGUGGCGAAGGCGGCUUGCCAGAACGCACUCGACGGUGAGGGAUGAAAGCUGGGGGAGCAAACCGGAUUAGAUACCCGGGUAGUCCCAGCUGUAAACGAUGCAGACUCGGUGAUGAAUAGGCUUCGUGCCUAUUCAGUGCCGCAGGGAAGCCGUUAAGUCUGCCGCCUGGGGAGUACGGUCGCAAGACUGA
Molecule: ribosomal RNA, 735 nt
Filed under: uncultured crenarchaeote KBSCul1
Lineage: Archaea; Thermoproteati; Thermoproteota
Description: bacterial SSU rRNA
Rfam family: Archaeal small subunit ribosomal RNA
Source: RNAcentral